Molecule: long non-coding RNA, 354 nt
Organism: Quercus lobata
Lineage: Eukaryota; Viridiplantae; Streptophyta; Magnoliopsida; Fagales; Fagaceae
Exons: 2
Source: RefSeq, a predicted model, not a curated record
AGAUGCGAGGCAGUGGAGAAACACCAUGCAUCCAUUUUGGUUGUGGGUAGUCAUGGCUAUGGAGCUAUCAAGAGGGCUGUUUUAGGCAGUGUCAGUGACUACUGUGCUCAUCAUGCCCACUGCACGGUGAUGAUUGUGAAGAGGCCCAAAAUCAAACACUAAGCCACCAUACCUGCUUCACAUAAAAAUGUAUUGCAGUUGGAUCAGUCAAGGGAUUAUACUUAAAAAUAAAUUUGAUGAUGUACAAAGUGUUUUUCUAUCUUCGCAUUUGACAGUUGCUCUUGAACUGGCAUGUUUUACUCUGCUCAACUUUGAAUGAUAUGUUGAUAUUUCAUUGUAAGCGUUUGAUAGGAA